RNAcentral lists this ribosomal RNA (379 nucleotides) under uncultured eukaryote. Its description in RNAcentral is "partial 18S ribosomal RNA". It matches the Rfam family "Eukaryotic small subunit ribosomal RNA", at positions 592 to 976 of the family's 1831-position model. The record is from RNAcentral.
CAAUAGCGUAUAUUUAAGUUGUUGCAGUUAAAAAGCUCGUAGUUGGAUUUCGGAUGGGAUUUGCCGGUCCGUCGUUACGAUGUGCACUGGCCAGUCCUAUCUUGUUGUCGGGGACUAGCUCCUUGGAUUCACUUCCUGGGACUAGGAGCUGACGAGGUUACUUUGAGUAAAUUAGAGUGUUCAAAGCAAGCCUACGCUCUGAAUACAUUAGCAUGGAAUAACACGAUAGGACUCUGGCCUAUCUUGUUGGUCUGUAGGACCGGAGUAAUGAUUAAGAGGGACAGUCGGGGGCAUUCGUAUUUCAUUGUCAGAGGUGAAAUUCUUGGAUUUAUGAAAGACGAACUACUGCGAAAGCAUUUGCCAAGGAUGUUUUCAUUAA